This 240-nucleotide ribosomal RNA is filed under the name uncultured bacterium. Its description in RNAcentral is "partial 16S ribosomal RNA". It matches the Rfam family "Bacterial small subunit ribosomal RNA", at positions 15 to 254 of the family's 1533-position model. The record is from RNAcentral.
GAUCCUGGCUCAGGACGAACGCUGGCGGCACGCUUAACACAUGCAAGUCGAACGGUGAAGAGAAGCUUGCUUCUCGGAUCAGUGGCAGACGGGUGAGUAACACGUGAGCAACCUGCCUUUAAGAGGGGGAUAACGUUUGGAAACGAACGCUAAUACCGCAUAACGUAGAAGAUUCGCAUGUUUCUUCUAUCAAAGAUUUAUCGCUUAAAGAUGGGCUCGCGUCUGAUUAGCUGGUUGGUG